Dreissena polymorpha is the source of this 1789-nucleotide long non-coding RNA. RefSeq lists it as uncharacterized. The record is from RefSeq and is a predicted model, not a curated record. NCBI's taxonomy places the organism in Eukaryota, Metazoa, Mollusca, Bivalvia, Myida, Dreissenidae. The transcript is spliced from 2 exons.
CUCUCUAUUUUAUACGUGAGUGUCACGGUUUAGUAAGGGUAUUAGCCGGGAAUGUUCUGAAGGGAAAUUGCAUUUAACCAUACAGUUUAUAAAAACAUUGUGUUUCCAGAUUGUUUACAUUAACACACUCUGUUGAAAGAGCAUUAAUUUUACCAUGCUAUUGUUUAUACUGCAGCAAAUUGAGUUCAUGAAUAGAUGUUUGACAUUUAAAAAGCUGUUAGAAUAAGCUUUGAUAGACUAGCAGUUUUGGAACUUUCGAGAAGCCAGUCUUUGCAUAAUUCUGGACGUGCGUAGUUUCACGUCAAUUUUCACUGAUUUAUAAUUUGUAAUUUAAGGCAUUAUAUGUCAAAUAAAAGAUCAUGAAACGUACCAGCCGUCCUAAGAAGGGUACGCAUUCGGCGUGUACCUGUUGUUCCGGACAAAAACAAGCACACAAGCGCAAAAACAAUGAUGCCCCAACCUCAACAAAAGGCAAAGGCCCGAAAAAACAAAAGACUCACAACAUUCUGCCCCUGGAGGCCAAUCUAGAUGACGAUGUGAAUGAGAACUUCAGCAGUGAUGAGGAAACAUCGGUUCGUUUGCCAGCUGCUCCAAGUACAGCAACAACCCUUGGUGUCCAAACAUCCUCAUCUGCGAGUCCUCACAUGCCAGCAGUUCCCCCGCAUCUACCAGUAGAAUCAGACUCUUCUUCAGACUCCGAUUCGGAUGAAGACGAUCACUAUCUGUUCCCAAGCUUACAACAGGCCGUGCUCUGGGCGGCGGUUCCCUUUUGGCGGUUUUUUGCCUCCCAGUUAUGUACAUUAGGGAAAACAUUUAUAAUAAGUUUGCUUUGAUUAUGUACUUCGUAAUCAUGCAUAUGUCAGUUUAUGGCAUUUAUAAUAAAUGUCCAGUUUUCAUUCAAACAUAGUUUUCUGUUUUCCCUUUUUCCCAUAAUCGAGUUCGACCUAGACUGUUAUCUCUCCCCCGACCUUGGGCAAUACAUAAAUAACAUUUUAUGCCAACAUAAUUUUUUUAUGUCAUUGACCUCCCCACUCUCUAUUUUAUACGUGAGUGUCACGGUUUAGUAAGGGUAUUAGCCGGGAUUGUUCUGAAGGGAAAUUGCAUUUAACCAUAAAGUUUAUAAAAACAUUGUGUUGCCAGAUCGUUUACAUUAACACACUCUGUUGAAAGAGCAUUAAUUUUACCAUGCUAUUGUUUAUACUGCAGCAGAUUGAGUUCAUGAAUAGAUGUUUGACAUUUAAAAAGCUGUUAGAAUAAGCUUUGAUAGACUAGCAGUUUUGGAACUUUCGAGAAGCCAGUCUUUGCAUAAUUCUGGACGUGCGUAGUUUCACGUCAAUUUUCACUGAUUUAAAAUCCACCUCCUCCCAUGCCUCCUCCUCUUAGUUUAUCAUGCUUACAUUCUAGCUAUUUUAGUUAUAUGUGUUUUACAGAGUUGAAAGAUAGUUAAAUGAUUUACUUUGCUUUACAUUAUAGCCUUUUUAGUUCUAUUGUUUUAUUUGAUUUGCAAUUAUGCCAUUCUAGUCUUCAAAGUUGCCAAUUUUGAUUGAAUACAUGUAUGAUUCUCGUCUUUGGGUCGGCGGUUUUUUGCCUCCCAGUUAUGUACAUUAGGGAAAACAUGUAUAAUAUGUUUUCUUUAAUUAUGUAUUACGUAAUCAUGUGGCGGUUUUUUGCCUCCCAGUUAUGUACAUUAGGGAAAACAUUUAUAAUAUGUUUGCUUUGAUUAUGUAUUACGUAAUCAUGUAUUUGUCAGUUUAUGGCAUUUAUAAUAAAUGCCCAGUUUUCAUUCAAA